AGGGAAUAUUGGACAAUGGGGGCAACCCUGAUCCAGCCAUGCCGCGUGAGUGAAGAAGGCCCUCGGGUUGUAAAGCUCUUUUGUCCGGAAAGAAAAGCUUCGGGUUAAUACCCCGGGGUUCUGACGGUACCGGAAGAAUAAGCACCGGCUAACUUCGUGCCAGCAGCCGCGGUAAUACGAAGGGUGCAAGCGUUACUCGGAAUUACUGGGCGUAAAGCGUGCGUAGGUGGUUGUUUAAGUCUGAUGUGAAAGCCCUGGGCUCAACCUGGGAAUGGCAUUGGAAACUGGGCAGCUAGAGUGCGGUAGAGGGUAGUGGAAUUCCCGGUGUAGCAGUGAAAUGCGUAGAGAUCGGGAGGAACAUCUGUGGCGAAGGCGACUGCCUGGACCAGCACUGACACUGAGGCACGAAAGCGUGGGGAGCAAACA
This 426-nucleotide ribosomal RNA is filed under the name uncultured bacterium. RNAcentral's name for it is "bacterial SSU rRNA". It matches the Rfam family "Bacterial small subunit ribosomal RNA", at positions 356 to 774 of the family's 1533-position model. The record is from RNAcentral.